Phyllostomus discolor (pale spear-nosed bat) is the source of this 3281-nucleotide long non-coding RNA. RefSeq lists it as uncharacterized. The record is from RefSeq and is a predicted model, not a curated record. The transcript is spliced from 2 exons. NCBI's taxonomy places the organism in Eukaryota, Metazoa, Chordata, Mammalia, Chiroptera, Phyllostomidae.
AUGAAGUUAAGAACAACUAAGCACUACUAGAAAUCUUACAGAAGAAACCAAAUGAACUUUUUGGCCACACAUAUAUUUUUUGUUGUUGUUCUCUAACUAGGUAAAGCAUUAUUAGAUUACCUCCACCUGGUCUAUUUUUCUUUCACCCAGUAAUGUUUUUCAUCAGCAGCCAUAGUUCUGUGAAGGGACGACAUUAAAAGGUCUCCUGUUGCAGACUAUAAUAGAACAUUAGGAUAGGUUGAAGGUUUCCAUGAUCAGUCUACACUCAAUCUCUCCCUAUUUUCUGCCUUUUUAUUUCCCACUUAAGUUUGUAUACUAUUAACUACAUUGCAAAAUGGCCACUAAGUUCACAUUUCCUGUGCUUAAAACAGGACUUUUGUUUCUUCAGCAGAUAUUCAUUGAGUAUCCACUAGGUGUCAGAUAUACUAGGUAGAUUCUGAGACACCAAGAUAACUACAGACACGCCUUUAGGCUAACAGCCUUGUGGGGGGAAGGUGAGAAAAGCCAAAAAGUUACAGUCUCGUAUAUUCUAAUAGAGUAGGAGAGUUUAAGGUCAUGAACAACCAUCAUUUCCAAAAAUAUCUCCCCAAUAAGUCUGUCUCCAUGACUAAGUUUUCAUGAAUAUAAUGUAAUUUUUUAUAGGACCACUAUUGCCUCUGGGUAGGAAAACUAAGGGGCAUUAAUGGGCUUUGAAGUUGCUUUAUUCCCCCCUUUUUAAAUUUUUUUUGUUUAAAAUGUUUAAUACACUAAGACUCUUUUGAUGUAUGAUUCUAUGAGUUUUAACAAAUGCACAGUUAUAUAAUCACCACCACAACAAAGAUAGAGAACAGUUCCAUUAUACCCUCCCACCCCCCAAAAAAUUUUUCUUGUGCUGUCACUUUUAUAAUUUUUUGUGGUAAAAAAUAUUUUUCAAAAAGUAAUGUUUGAAUGUUACAUGUACAACUUGUUCAAAAAAGUACUUGGGACAGUACCUUUUCUGAUAAGCCUCUUUAGAAAUAUAGAUAUCCAAGGAGGUGCUAAAUUAUUACACCAUUGAUAGUCAUCUACACCUUAGUUUGUAGAUCAAGCUGUUGAAAAUAAGACUCAGAAAAGGUAAAGGGUGCAUGUGGUGUAUGUAGUGUGUGUGUUAGACUAGAAAGAGUAUGGGGUCAGUGGCUAGAGUUGGAGAUUAGGGCCUGACAAUGUGUUCUGAACAAUGUGCAUGCAAUGAUAGAUAUGAGUAGUGUGUUUUGUGUUUUGAGUAGCAUUAAGGGCCCUGUGUUCUUAAAGAUAGGGGGCACCAAAGAAAGAGGAGAUGAGCCCUGAAGAGGUGUGGCCUUCAUGUAACAUUUGAUCUGUCUGUAUUUGAAGCUGCAGAGCUGGGAUUCCAAUACUGACUCUUCCAAUAACUUGUCUUGAAAAGUCACUUCCCCUUUCUGGGCCUCAAUUUCAUCAUGUAUAAAAACUAAGGUUGGAUUAAGUAUAUUCCGAAGUCCAGUUCAGUGUUCUCUAGCUACAACUAACACCCUUUGUGUGUAUGCAUGACUGUGUCCUCGGUUUCUGUUCUCCAAUUUUAACUGGAGAGACACAUAUGUGUAUAACAAUAACCAAACUCAGCAAGCAUUAUGAUCUCAAAAUUUCAUGUAAGUUGAUGUCAGAAGUGGCAAAGUUAAGGCUGAUCUGAACUGGGCUCCAGUGGAAUAGCUCUGUAAUACUGAGCCUUCUCAUGUACAGAAUGACUGAAUAUACUCCACUGUUCCUUGUAGUUCUCGCAGGUUAUGACUAUGAAACCUGUUAAAUCUUACCAGUAUUACUUCUCACUUCCCCCAGGUUUGCACCUGUUGUUCUAAUUUUGAAUUUUUUGGUUUAUUUGUAUUAGCCACUAUUCAUUUAGUACCAUCUAUGUGCCAGAACUUUUACUCUAAGGCAUUUGACCUACAUUAUUUAAGGACGUUUAUACUGCUGCCAUCCUUAAUAGACAUACAGAUAUGGGGAAAUCACAUCACGGCUUCCUACUCCCAUCCUAGAUAACAUAUUCCUACAGCAAGAUCUCCUUUCAAUGAAUAUUAAAACUAGCACUAAAGAAGGGAAGAAGGGGAAAGAUGUAUAUGGCUUUAAAUUGAUAAAGUGAAGAGAAAUGAACUAAUGGUUGAGGGCUAACUAUGUGCUAGGCACUUUAUAUGUGUCUAUCUUUUUCAGGUGGUUGAGGUAAACAGGUGGAGGCAUCACAAAAGAGCCUGCUUUUUCCCCUCACCCAAGGACAUUUUUUUUUUUCAUUGCUUUAGAGAGACAGGAAGGGAGAGAGAGAAACAUUGAUUGGUUGCCUCCUGUACAUGCCUGGACUGAGGAUGGAACCCAAACCUAAGUAUGUGCCCUGACCAGGAUUCAAACCUGCAACCUUUUGGUUACAGGACAAUGCUCCAACCGAGACACACCAGCCAGAGUGAGCCUGCUUGUUUUGAUGACAAAAAUGAGAAAAACUAUUUCAUACCAUAAAUCAUUGGAAUUAUUCAGAAUAGUUGUUUUUCAUGUUAUUCUCCACUAUGAGGGCACAGACAGCAUAGUGCCUGUGUGCAGAGUUUGGUGGAUGUUUGUUGAAUAGAUUGGGAUUUUUCUCAUACUUUAGAGUAGUAGUUUUUAGGGUCCAUGAACCUCUUAAGAAUUUUAGAAAAACUAUGGACCCUUCUUGGAUGUCACCUCCUCCAUACACACAAAAAGAAACAACUCUGUCUCAUCCUAACCACCUUCACAUCUGCAUUUGGAAUGUUUUUAGUCUCUUUUACACUCCCUUCUUGAGCCCCAGGUUAAGAACUCUGUGUAGGAAAUAUUUCUGGGUAUCCAGGCAGCCUAGAAGCAUAGCUUCAUUAACUUACCAUGCUACCAUCCUUUCUUGGUCCUUAUAGAUGAGGGAAAAUUACACCAUACCUCCUGAGCAUUAACUAAUGGUCAUGUUAAUUUUUCUUUUUAUGAGCAAAGAUUGUAUUCAACUUGCUCUUAGGUUGAUUAAUAUGUGCUACAGCCAAAGGACCAGCAUUACCUUAUGUGAGUAACAUGUCUCUGGCUUUCUAUUUUUACCCCUCCCCAUUGAAAUAAAUACCCACUUAAAACACGGUUAGGGUAGUGCCCUUAUCAGUAAAAUUUUAUCUGGAUAGAGAAGGGUGAUGAAAAAAUCUGCCUUGUCUCAUAGCAGAGGAGAAUGACAUGUAAAAGAAAUACCAGGAUUAGGGCCAACAACCUCCUGUGCAGUGGAAAAUUCAGGUAUAUCCACAGAUAGCCAUUCACACACAGUGAUUCUCUGUAUG